AAUGAACGCUGGCGGCAUGCCUAACACAUGCAAGUCGAACGAGACCUUCGGGACUAGUGGCGCACGGGUGCGUCACGCGUGGGAACCUGACCUUAGGUUCGGAAUAACUCCCCGACAGGGGUGCUAAUACCGGAUAAUGUCUUCGGACCAAAGAUUUAUCGCCUUUGGAUGGGCCCGCGUUGGAUUAGCUAGUUGGUAGGGUAAAAGCCUACCAAGGCGACGAUCCAUAGCUGGUCUGAGAGGAUGAUCAGCCACACUGGGACUGAGACACGGCCCAGACUCCUACGGGAGGCAGCAGUGGGGAAUAUUGGACAAUGGGCGGAAGCCUGAUCCAGCAAUGCCGCGUGAGUGAUGAAGGCCUUAGGGUUGUAAAGCUCUUUUACCCGGGAUGAUAAUGACAGUACCGGGAGAAUAAGCUCCGGCUAACUCCGUG
This 433-nucleotide ribosomal RNA is filed under the name uncultured bacterium. Its description in RNAcentral is "partial 16S ribosomal RNA". It matches the Rfam family "Bacterial small subunit ribosomal RNA", at positions 29 to 507 of the family's 1533-position model. The record is from RNAcentral.